AAAAACUAGGUGACAGAAAUAGGACCUGAAGCUGGCAUACUGGUCUUCAAGCUUGCAGCGCAGCUCCGUGGGCUUUGGAUGACUAAAGAAAAGCAUGAGGCACAGGAGAGAACUGCUGCUGGAUCUUAAUGAAAGAUGUUCAAAAUUGGCACAGCAGAGCCUAUAUAGUUUUCAAAUCGUUAGCAGCUCCUUCACCGACUUGUUAGCAGACAGAGCAGAAUCUAUACUUUCUCCUUCUGUAUGGCUCUUGAAAGAAACUUGGUUGGAACUCAUUUGCUUGUUGGAAAAAAAAAUGGGAUGUUGGAUCAAGUGCAACUGUAGCAAAUACUGACUUUCCUUAAACUAUUUAGAGUUUUCAUGUGUUGAUACUCAUUAGAAAAAAUCAAAACUUGAAAAAAUUACUAUAAGGAUUAAGCUAUGAGAUCAUUUUCAGAAAAAAAAAAAAUGGAACAUAGUUUUACAGAAAAUAAUUUUCAUAGCACUUUCAGGUAACAUAGCUGUCUGUAAACACGAUGUUUAAGGAAAAGAUACUUGGUCUCUUUAUGAUUCUUUCUGUGGCCUUCUAAAUUAAAAGUCUGACUGUGUGAACCCUGGUUAUCUGUGUUACAGAAAACUGAUCUGCUUUGCAAGCUGAGAUUAUUCUGAAACAGAGCAAAGUAUGAAAGACAUGGUCUUGUGGUUUGGGUUACUAUCAUGUAAUUUACACAGACUGUAUAACAGCCAAAUCUUUUUGUGAUUUAAAAACUUCAUUUAACUGCAUAAAGGAUGAAUGUGCCCCCUGAAUAGUUUCUUGUGUUCAUGCACAUUGCCAGUGAUUUACUACUGAGAGAAGUCCUAGCAACUGUAAACAACUAGAUAAUUCAUCAGAACAUCACACAUAAAUAUAUCUCAAAUAAUUUUUGUAUCACAGCUAGUCUAAUGCAUUAACUUUUUAUCUUAGGAGCUCUUCCAUAAUAAUCUAUUUCUCAUUUUAUGGGAUAGAUAAUGAAAGAAUUUCUUGAAAUAUCUAAAAUAAAACAUUGGAUGAGAAAAGGGGAGAGACAGAAUGGGUUUUGAAGUGUUGAUGCAAUAUUACAGAUUGUGUUGCAGUUCACAGAGGAGAAGACUACUUUGGUUAUGAUACCAAAAUAUUUCUCUUCCACUUCUGUAAGCUACACUAAUUAUUUUACAGUUAGAAGCUUAAAAAGAUCUUGAGAAGUUAAUUUCAACCUCUUAAUAAAGGCUACAUGGCUAACA
This is a long non-coding RNA of Aquila chrysaetos chrysaetos, 1236 nucleotides long. RefSeq lists it as uncharacterized. Lineage: Eukaryota; Metazoa; Chordata; Aves; Accipitriformes; Accipitridae. The record is from RefSeq and is a predicted model, not a curated record. The transcript is spliced from 2 exons.